GGGUGUAGCUCAGGGGUAGAGUGCGUGCUUAGCAUGCAUGAGGUCCUGGGAUCAAUCCCCAGUACCUCCA
RNAcentral lists this transfer RNA (70 nucleotides) under Camelus bactrianus (Bactrian camel). It matches the Rfam family "tRNA". From Rfam's summary of the family: Transfer RNA (tRNA) molecules are approximately 80 nucleotides in length. Their secondary structure includes four short double-helical elements and three loops (D, anti-codon, and T loops). The record is from Rfam by way of RNAcentral. Lineage: Eukaryota; Metazoa; Chordata; Mammalia; Artiodactyla; Camelidae. RNAcentral also lists the same sequence under 2 other names.